RNAcentral lists this ribosomal RNA (317 nucleotides) under uncultured bacterium. Its description in RNAcentral is "bacterial SSU rRNA". It matches the Rfam family "Bacterial small subunit ribosomal RNA", at positions 28 to 346 of the family's 1533-position model. The record is from RNAcentral.
GACGAACGCUGGCGGCGUGCUUAACACAUGCAAGUCGAGCGGUAAGGCCCUUCGGGGGUACACGAGCGGCGAACGGGUGAGUAACACGUGGGUGACCUGCCCUCAGCUCUGGGAUAAGCCUGGGAAACCGGGUCUAAUACUGGAUAUGACUCCAUGACGCAUGUUGGUGGGGUGGAAAGCCUUGUGCGGCUGAGGAUGGGCCCGCGGCCUAUCAGCUUGUUGGUGGGGUGANGGCCUACCAAGGCGACGACGGGUAGCCGGCCUGAGAGGGCGACCGGCCACACUGGGACUGAGACACGGCCCAGACUCCUACGGGA